Molecule: long non-coding RNA, 414 nt
Filed under: Triticum aestivum (bread wheat)
Lineage: Eukaryota; Viridiplantae; Streptophyta; Magnoliopsida; Poales; Poaceae
Description: long non-coding RNA (TAES_LNC024348)
Source: RNAcentral
CAUUAUUAUGUUUGUUUCUUAGCCUCUAUAUGAGGUUGUUGAAGGUUAUCGUAGUUCCAUAUUUGGGUUUAAAGUUAACAUACAUAGACUGUACUUCCUUCAUCGGAGAGGGAGAAAAUGUUUUCCCCUCCUGUGGAAAUGUGUGAGCAUCUCCACAUCUGUGACGGAGUUACACAUGGCUUUCCCUUGAGGGUAAAUGUGUCAUCUUCAAGAUCGUACCUAUUUGCGACCCAGUUCAAUGAUUUGCAGCGAUUGUGUACUGGCUUCGUCUUCAGGAUGUCUCGCAGUCCCACCAUUCUGAUGAGGUAUGUUUGCGUACGGGAAUUGCGAGUAUAUCUGAGUUGACUGAUUUGGGAGGGAACUAAGGAAGAGCCAUAUAUCUUCGACAGGUCCACCUACGGUGCGGUAUUCAUG